Molecule: ribosomal RNA, 253 nt
Filed under: uncultured bacterium
Lineage: Bacteria
Description: partial 16S ribosomal RNA
Rfam family: Bacterial small subunit ribosomal RNA
Source: RNAcentral
UACGUAGGGUGCGAGCGUUGUCCGGAAUUAUUGGGCGUAAAGAGCUCGUAGGCGGUUUGUCGCGUCUGCUGUGAAAACUCGGGGCUUAACUCCGGGCCUGCAGUGGGUACGGGCAGACUAGGGUGCGGUAGGGGAGACUGGAAUUCCUGGUGUAGCGGUGAAAUGCGCAGAUAUCAGGAGGAACACCGGUGGCGAAGGCGGGUCUCUGGGCCGUAACUGACGCUGAGGAGCGAAAGCGUGGGGAGCGAACAGG